UACAGAGGAUGCAAGCGUUAUCCGGAAUGAUUGGGCGUAAAGCGUCUGUAGGUGGCUUUUUAAGUCCGCCGUCAAAUCCCAGGGCUCAACUCUGGACAGGCGGUGGAAACUACCAAGCUGGAGUACGGUAGUGGCAGAGGGAAUUUCCGGUGGAGCGGUGAAAUGCGUAGAGAUGUGGAGGAACACCGAUGGCGAAGGCAGCCUCCUGGGCCAACACUGACGCUCAUGCACGAAAGCGUGGGGAGCAAACAGG
This 253-nucleotide ribosomal RNA is filed under the name uncultured bacterium. RNAcentral describes it as "partial 16S ribosomal RNA". It matches the Rfam family "Bacterial small subunit ribosomal RNA", at positions 524 to 776 of the family's 1533-position model. The record is from RNAcentral.